UACGUAGGGUGCGAGCGUUAAUCGGAAUUACUGGGCGUAAAGCGUGCGCAGGCGGCCUCUUAAGCCAGAUGUGAAAUCCCCGGGCUUAACCUGGGAACUGCGUUUGGAACUGGGAGGCUAGAGUGUGGAAGAGGGGGGUGGAAUUCCCGGUGUAGCAGUGAAAUGCGUAGAUAUCGGGAGGAACACCAAUGGCGAAGGCAGCCCCCUGGGCUAACACUGACGCUCAUGCACGAAAGCGUGGGGAGCAAACAGG
Molecule: ribosomal RNA, 253 nt
Filed under: uncultured bacterium
Lineage: Bacteria
Description: partial 16S ribosomal RNA
Rfam family: Bacterial small subunit ribosomal RNA
Source: RNAcentral